AAUAGAUACCCUGGUAGUCCACGCUGUAAACGUUGGGCGCUAGGUGUGGGGGGGCCUCUCCGGUUCCCUGUGCCGCAGCUAACGCAUUAAGCGCCCCGCCUGGGGAGUACGGCCGCAAGGCUAAAACUCAAAGGAAUUGACGGGGGGCCCGCACAGGCGGCGGAGCAUGCGGAUUAAUUCGAUGCAACGCGAAGAACCUUACCUGGGUUUGACAUGGCCGCAAAACUGUCAGAGAUGGCAGGUCCUUCGGGGGUCGGGUCACAGGUGGUGCAUGGCUGUCGUCAGCUCGUGUCGUGAGAUGUUGGUUAAGUCCGCAACGAGCGCAACCCUCGUUCGAUGUUGCCAGCGCGUUAUGGCGGGGACUCAUCGAAGACUGCCGGGGUCAACUCGGAGGAAGGUGGGGAUGACGUCAAGUCAUCAUGCCCCUUAUGUCCAGGGCUUCACGCAUGCUACAAUGGCCGGUCAAUGGGCUGCGAUACCGUGAGGUGGAGCGAAUCCCAAAAACGCCGGUCUCGAGUUCGGAUCGGGGUCUGCAACCG
RNAcentral lists this ribosomal RNA (539 nucleotides) under uncultured bacterium. Its description in RNAcentral is "bacterial SSU rRNA". It matches the Rfam family "Bacterial small subunit ribosomal RNA", at positions 777 to 1313 of the family's 1533-position model. The record is from RNAcentral.